GUUUACCUCUGAAAUGACCCAAUCAGAGUUGAUUCUAUACCUGCUGUGUCGCAAUCCGUGGCAACCUCCAUCUAGAGUUCAUCCGAAAUUUAAUUGUGAUGCGGCCUGGAAAGAGAGGUCAACCUUUUGCAGCAAUAGCGGAAAUAGCUAGGAAUCAUUCAAGUAGAUUGGUAGAUGGAGUGGCCAAGAAAUUCGUUCUCUUCCCCUUUAUUAGGCGAAGCAAAAGCACUUCUAGAAGCUGUACUGCUAGCAAAUCUAUGCGAAGCCCCUCUAUAAUUCUGAAAUCAGAUUUCAGUCAAUCAGCAGUGCUUAUAUCUGACUAUUAAUAACUCUCAAAAGUGCCAGCACUGGGAAAUUUAUGCCACUGUGCAAGCUAUCACGGCUAUAGUUCCCUAUAUUGCGCAAGUAGAACUUUCUAAUGUCAAUAGAAUGGUCAAUUCAGCAGCUCAUCACCUGGCUAAGCUUAGGUUUAAAAACCAGCUUCCUUGUAAUUGGCUCAGUGCCAUCCCUGAUUCGCUUUGGUCUAU
This 527-nucleotide unclassified non-coding RNA is filed under the name Hevea brasiliensis (rubber tree). The record is from RNAcentral. Lineage: Eukaryota; Viridiplantae; Streptophyta; Magnoliopsida; Malpighiales; Euphorbiaceae.